RNAcentral lists this ribosomal RNA (253 nucleotides) under uncultured bacterium. RNAcentral's name for it is "partial 16S ribosomal RNA". It matches the Rfam family "Bacterial small subunit ribosomal RNA", at positions 524 to 776 of the family's 1533-position model. The record is from RNAcentral.
UACGUAGGGUGCAAGCGUUAAUCGGAAUUACUGGGCGUAAAGCGUGCGCAGGCGGUUUUGUAAGUCAGAUGUGAAAUCCCCGGGCUCAACCUGGGAACUGCAUUUGAAACUGCAAGGCUAGAGUAUGGCAGAGGGGAGUAGAAUUCCACGUGUAGCGGUGAAAUGCGUAGAGAUGUGGAGGAAUACCGAUGGCGAAGGCAGCCCCCUGGAAUAAUACUGACGCUCAGGCACGAAAGCGUGGGGAGCAAACAGG